This 291-nucleotide long non-coding RNA is filed under the name Zea mays. RNAcentral's name for it is "long non-coding RNA NONZMAT000258". The record is from RNAcentral. Lineage: Eukaryota; Viridiplantae; Streptophyta; Magnoliopsida; Poales; Poaceae.
CUGAUCGGUAGGAGGUUACAAGUUGGUGCAAGCCGAUAGAUUCGGGGAAGUUAGUUGGGAUUCAGUCUGAUCCGAGCUUCACCAUGGUAUAAAACGGUGGUCGGGGCCCUUGCCUCAUUAGCAUAGCCUGCUAUAGGGAGCCAGAAGCCAACAAAAUAUGAAGCCAGAGCGCGCGAGAGAGAAGCAUCGAGUAAAAUUGACGGAUUUUGUGGGGCGUGCUCGAGGUCUAUCUUGGGAUGAGGGAGUAUCAGACCACCUGGGUGUUGCUCGUCGGCUCCUGUCAUCGAAGAC